Molecule: ribosomal RNA, 467 nt
Filed under: uncultured bacterium
Lineage: Bacteria
Description: partial 16S ribosomal RNA
Rfam family: Bacterial small subunit ribosomal RNA
Source: RNAcentral
GACGAACGCUGGCGGCGUGCUUAACACAUGCAAGUCGAACGGAAAGGCCCUGCUUUUGUGGGGUGCUCGCGUGGCGAACGGGUGAGUAACCCGUGAGUAACCUGCCCUUGACUUUGGGAUAACUUCAGGCAACUGGGGCUACUACCGGAUAGGAGCUCCUGCUGCAUGGUGGGGGUUGGAAAGUUUGGGCGGUUGGGGGUGGACUCGCGGCUUAUUAGCUUGUUGGUUGGGUAGUGGCUUACCAAAGCGUUGACGGGUAGCCGGACUGGGAGGGUGACCGGCCACAUUGGGACUGAGAUACGGCCCAGACUCCUACGGGAGGCAGGAGUGGGGAAUAGUGCACAAUGGGCGGAAGCUUGAUGCAGGAACGCCGCGUGCGGGAUGACGGCCUUCGGGUUGGAAACCGCUUUCGCCUGUGACGAAGCGUGAGUGACGGUAAUGGGUAAAGAAGCACCGGCUAACUACGU